Molecule: long non-coding RNA, 667 nt
Organism: Leopardus geoffroyi (Geoffroy's cat)
Lineage: Eukaryota; Metazoa; Chordata; Mammalia; Carnivora; Felidae
Exons: 4
Source: RefSeq, a predicted model, not a curated record
AGGCAGGAGAGAAAGGUUUGACAUGAAGCCCUGGGAGAGGUCACCUCUCCCACCGAGCCCGUCAGGCCAGCCACCGCGGCUCUGACUCAGGCGGCACUUGGCCGUGGAGCUCAGCCUUCCAUGUGACCUCCCUGGACAAAGAGCCCCAGUAGUAAGACUCUUCCUCUUUAAGAUGUUCCAAACUCCGUGAAAUUCCUCCCUUGGUGUGCAAACAAAGCAAGUCACGAGUUCUCUUACCGUGAAGACCCCCCGCCCCCCGCCAGCCCCCGGGCAGCCUCCCACCUACGGGCAUCAAAAAGUUAAAUCUUCAUUUUGGAGAUCAGACAAGUUUGUGGAACUUUGAGUUGUUACGUCAAAUCCACUUGAAACUCCCAGCGACCUCUGCAAUUAUCAUCACGAGAACUUCUCAUUCUGACACGAGCUUCAUUUAAAAGCUUCAAUAUUAUCUUCUUUGACAACUUGAUCCUGGAAGAAUGAGAGAUGGGAAGAGAGAAAACUUCAGUUCAUCAGCUAUGCAGUCCAGUAACUGGCCAUUCUCAAACUGUAAUUUUGUGACCACAGGUAUAAACUUUUUGAAAUUAUAUUACAUGCAAUUCACCUGCUUCACAAUGUUUUCUAAGGAAUUGAAAGUGUCUUGUCUAAACAUUGUAACGUGAGCAUUUCAGUU